UACGUAGGGGGCAAGCGUUGUCCGGAUUUAUUGGGCGUAAAGAGCGUGUAGGCGGCUUUACAGGUCCGUUGUGAAAACUCGAGGCUCAACCUCGAGACGCCGGUGGAAACCGUAAAGCUAGAGUCCGGAAGAGGAGAGUGGAAUUCCUGGUGUAGCGGUGGAAUGCGCAGAUAUCAGGAGGGACACCAAUAGCGAAGGCAGCUCGCUGGGACGGUACUGACGCUGAGGCGCGAAAGCGUGGGGAGCGAACAGG
This 253-nucleotide ribosomal RNA is filed under the name uncultured bacterium. RNAcentral describes it as "partial 16S ribosomal RNA". It matches the Rfam family "Bacterial small subunit ribosomal RNA", at positions 524 to 776 of the family's 1533-position model. The record is from RNAcentral.